Molecule: ribosomal RNA, 497 nt
Filed under: uncultured bacterium
Lineage: Bacteria
Description: partial 16S ribosomal RNA
Rfam family: Bacterial small subunit ribosomal RNA
Source: RNAcentral
GAUGAACGCUGGCGGCGUGCCUAAUACAUGCAAGUCGAGCGAACAGAUAAGGAGCUUGCUCCUUUGACGUUAGCGGCGGACGGGUGAGUAACAAGUGGGUAACCUACCCAUAAGACUGGGAUAACUUCGGGAAACCGGAGCUACUACCAGAUAAUAUUUCGAACCGCAUGGUUCGAUAGUGAAAGAUGGUUUUGCUAUCACUUAUAGAUGGACCCGCGCCGUAUUAGCUAGUUGGUAAGGUAACGGCUUACCAAGGCGACGACACGUAGCCGACCUGAGAGGGUGAUCGGCCAUACUGGAGCGGAGACAAGGUGCAGACUCCUACGGGAGGCAGCAGUAGUGAAUCUUCCUGAAUGAGCGGAAGCCUGACGGAGCAACGCCGCGUGAGUGAUGAAGGUCUUCGGAUCGUAGAACUCUGUUAUUAGGGAAGAACAUACGUGUAAGUAACUGUGCACGUCUUGACGGUACCUAAACAGAAAGCGACGGCUAACUACGUG